Peniophora sp. CONT is the source of this 103-nucleotide non-coding RNA. NCBI's taxonomy places the organism in Eukaryota, Fungi, Basidiomycota, Agaricomycetes, Russulales, Peniophoraceae. The record is from the annotation of a GenBank genome assembly.
GAUCUCUUAGUUCAGUGGUAGAAUGUCUGAUUCCAGCUGAACGAACACCUGUGUUUGUCCUGGAGCUUCCAGAAGGUCGUCCGUUCGAUCCGGGCAGAGAUCA